This 79-nucleotide transfer RNA is filed under the name Lentisphaerae bacterium RIFOXYA12_64_32. RNAcentral's name for it is "tRNA-Pro". It matches the Rfam family "tRNA". From Rfam's summary of the family: Transfer RNA (tRNA) molecules are approximately 80 nucleotides in length. Lineage: Bacteria; Pseudomonadati; Lentisphaerota. RNAcentral also lists the same sequence under 5 other names. The record is from RNAcentral.
CGGGGCGUGGCUCAGCCUGGUUUAGAGCGCUUGGUUCGGGACCAAGAAGUCGGAGGUUCAAAUCCUCUCGCCCCGACCA